AUGGUGUUUCCAAGUGGAUAAAGCAGCACGUUAUCAUUUCCCAUCCUUCACAAUCUUAAAGCCGUUGGCCAACUCAGGCAAUCCAAAGGAAAUGAGGCUCCUGAGCAAGGAGAGAAGCUUUAUGAGUACUCUAAGCAAUGUGGAAACUGAGGCUCAGAGAUAUUAAGAAAGUUGUCCAAAUGGAUGCCUCCAAUAAUGAGGAGGAAACGGCUUCACCACAGCAAACAGCAUUUGUGUGUCAUCCAUCAGAUGAGGAGCUGUUCAGUGUUUGGCCUGCCCUGAAGCAGAUGAGAAGAAUCCCUCGCUUCCACAGCUGGAUGCUUCCAAGCACACAGAACAGCAUUAGUAGGAAGCGAUCGUGUGUCUUCAAAUAGAUUCUGUCUCCCUCUCUCUCCACGCCCCCCCCCCCGUCUGUUUC
Long non-coding RNA from Suricata suricatta (meerkat), 418 nucleotides. RefSeq lists it as uncharacterized. NCBI's taxonomy places the organism in Eukaryota, Metazoa, Chordata, Mammalia, Carnivora, Herpestidae. The record is from RefSeq and is a predicted model, not a curated record. The transcript has 3 exons.